Heterocephalus glaber (naked mole-rat) is the source of this 555-nucleotide non-coding RNA. Lineage: Eukaryota; Metazoa; Chordata; Mammalia; Rodentia; Bathyergidae. The record is from RefSeq and is a predicted model, not a curated record.
GAGAUCCGAAUCCCACAGCCACGGUGAAGGCUAGAAUUUUCACUUAGUAAACAACUUGGCCCAUAAUUUUGGUAGUUUUGUUACUUGAUUGAGCUGUUGCCUAAAACAAGGAAACCUUCAAAAUGACCUGAUCUGGACCUUCUCUCUUGUCCCUGAGUCAGACUUUUCAUUCCUCCUCCCUGUGGACACCCGGUUGCCCAGGGACUCAGCAGAAGACCAUCUCUCCUUAGACUGAGAGCUCCCUCCGAGAGAACAGAAAUUCUACUGAUCACCACCGUAAUGCUGAAUAUGAAAUGCCCCAUGUGGACAAGAAUCCCUGACUCAUGGCCCAAGCCCAAUAAAUACUGGGUUUACGUGACACCCAACACGGCUGACACGAAUGAGGUGCUUAGUGAGAUUUUGCUCCAGUGAAUGGCAUUAACAUAUUUUAUAGCUGGCUUACCAACCUGCAGAAGAAGCUUAUGCCUUGAGAACUUUAGAACAGCCUGUACUUGAUCUCCGGAGACAGCACAAUGGUUCCAAAUAAUUUUAUCCUUCUUUAUACAGUCUAGUUCA